UACGUAGGUGGCAAGCGUUGUCCGGAUUUACUGGGCGUAAAGGAUGCGUAGGCGGAUGUUUAAGUGAGAUGUGAAAUACCCGAGCUCAACUUGGGUGCUGCAUUUCAAACUGGAUAUCUAGAGUGCAGGAGAGGAAAGCGGGAUUCCUAGUGUAGCGGUGAAAUGCGUAGAGAUUAGGAAGAACACCAGUGGCGAAGGCGGCUUUCUGGACUGUAACUGACGCUGAGGCAUGAAAGCGUGGGGAGCAAACAGG
RNAcentral lists this ribosomal RNA (253 nucleotides) under uncultured bacterium. RNAcentral describes it as "partial 16S ribosomal RNA". It matches the Rfam family "Bacterial small subunit ribosomal RNA", at positions 524 to 776 of the family's 1533-position model. The record is from RNAcentral.